Molecule: ribosomal RNA, 272 nt
Filed under: uncultured soil bacterium
Lineage: Bacteria
Description: partial 16S ribosomal RNA
Rfam family: Bacterial small subunit ribosomal RNA
Source: RNAcentral
AGAGUCAACGCUGGCGGCGUGCCUAACACAUGCAAGUCGAACGCGAAAGGGGAGCAAUCCCUGAUUAGAGUGGCAAACGGGUGAGUAACACGUGGGUGACCUGCCUUCGAGUGGGGGAUAACCUUCCGAAAGGAGGGCUAAUACCGCAUGACAUACCGUGUUUGGAUACACGAAUAUCAAAGCCGGGGAUCGCAAGACCUGGCGCUUGGAGAGGGGCCCGCGUCCGAUUAGCUAGUUGGUGGGUAACGGCUCACCAAGGCUCCGAUCGGUAU